CAGUAGCCACGGGAAUACGAAGGGGGCUAGCGUUGCUCGGAAUCACUGGGCGUAAAGGGUGCGUAGGCGGGUCUUUAAGUCAGGGGUGAAAUCCUGGAGCUCAACUCCAGAACUGCCUUUGAUACUGAAGAUCUUGAGUUCGGGAGAGGUGAGUGGAACUGCGAGUGUAGAGGUGAAAUUCGUAGAUAUUCGCAAGAACACCAGUGGCGAAGGCGGCUCACUGGCCCGAUACUGACGCUGAGGCACGAAAGCGUGGGGAGCAAACAGGAUUAGAUACCCGGGUAGUCCCUGUCUCUUAUAC
This 301-nucleotide ribosomal RNA is filed under the name uncultured bacterium. RNAcentral's name for it is "partial 16S ribosomal RNA". It matches the Rfam family "Bacterial small subunit ribosomal RNA", at positions 509 to 807 of the family's 1533-position model. The record is from RNAcentral.